This 1540-nucleotide ribosomal RNA is filed under the name Staphylococcus aureus M1106. RNAcentral's name for it is "16S ribosomal RNA". It matches the Rfam family "Bacterial small subunit ribosomal RNA". RNAcentral also lists the same sequence under 1 other name. Lineage: Bacteria; Bacillati; Bacillota; Bacilli; Caryophanales; Staphylococcaceae. The record is from RNAcentral.
AGAGUUUGAUCCUGGCUCAGGAUGAACGCUGGCGGCGUGCCUAAUACAUGCAAGUCGAGCGAACGGACGAGAAGCUUGCUUCUCUGAUGUUAGCGGCGGACGGGUGAGUAACACGUGGAUAACCUACCUAUAAGACUGGGAUAACUUCGGGAAACCGGAGCUAAUACCGGAUAAUAUUUUGAACCGCAUGGUUCAAAAGUGAAAGACGGUCUUGCUGUCACUUAUAGAUGGAUCCGCGCUGCAUUAGCUAGUUGGUAAGGUAACGGCUUACCAAGGCAACGAUGCAUAGCCGACCUGAGAGGGUGAUCGGCCACACUGGAACUGAGACACGGUCCAGACUCCUACGGGAGGCAGCAGUAGGGAAUCUUCCGCAAUGGGCGAAAGCCUGACGGAGCAACGCCGCGUGAGUGAUGAAGGUCUUCGGAUCGUAAAACUCUGUUAUUAGGGAAGAACAUAUGUGUAAGUAACUGUGCACAUCUUGACGGUACCUAAUCAGAAAGCCACGGCUAACUACGUGCCAGCAGCCGCGGUAAUACGUAGGUGGCAAGCGUUAUCCGGAAUUAUUGGGCGUAAAGCGCGCGUAGGCGGUUUUUUAAGUCUGAUGUGAAAGCCCACGGCUCAACCGUGGAGGGUCAUUGGAAACUGGAAAACUUGAGUGCAGAAGAGGAAAGUGGAAUUCCAUGUGUAGCGGUGAAAUGCGCAGAGAUAUGGAGGAACACCAGUGGCGAAGGCGACUUUCUGGUCUGUAACUGACGCUGAUGUGCGAAAGCGUGGGGAUCAAACAGGAUUAGAUACCCUGGUAGUCCACGCCGUAAACGAUGAGUGCUAAGUGUUAGGGGGUUUCCGCCCCUUAGUGCUGCAGCUAACGCAUUAAGCACUCCGCCUGGGGAGUACGACCGCAAGGUUGAAACUCAAAGGAAUUGACGGGGACACGCACAAGCGGUGGAGCAUGUGGUUUAAUUCGAAGCAACGCGAAGAACCUUACCAAAUCUUGACAUCCUUUGACAACUCUAGAGAUAGAGCCUUCCCCUUCGGGGGACAAAGUGACAGGUGGUGCAUGGUUGUCGUCAGCUCGUGUCGUGAGAUGUUGGGUUAAGUCCCGCAACGAGCGCAACCCUUAAGCUUAGUUGCCAUCAUUAAGUUGGGCACUCUAAGUUGACUGCCGGUGACAAACCGGAGGAAGGUGGGGAUGACGUCAAAUCAUCAUGCCCCUUAUGAUUUGGGCUACACACGUGCUACAAUGGACAAUACAAAGGGCAGCGAAACCGCGAGGUCAAGCAAAUCCCAUAAAGUUGUUCUCAGUUCGGAUUGUAGUCUGCAACUCGACUACAUGAAGCUGGAAUCGCUAGUAAUCGUAGAUCAGCAUGCUACGGUGAAUACGUUCCCGGGUCUUGUACACACCGCCCGUCACACCACGAGAGUUUGUAACACCCGAAGCCGGUGGAGUAACCUUUUAGGAGCUAGCCGUCGAAGGUGGGACAAAUGAUUGGGGUGAAGUCGUAACAAGGUAGCCGUAUCGGAAGGUGCGGCUGGAUCACCU